Fukomys damarensis (Damara mole-rat) is the source of this 99-nucleotide small nuclear RNA. NCBI's taxonomy places the organism in Eukaryota, Metazoa, Chordata, Mammalia, Rodentia, Bathyergidae. The record is from Ensembl.
UUGCUUCAGCAGCGCAUAUACUAAAUUUGGAAUGAUACAGAGAUAAUUAGCAUGGCCCCUGUGCAAGGAUGACACAGAAAUUCACGAAGCUUCAUUUUU